GUCGAACGGAUUACCUUUGUAGCUUGCUACGAAGGUGGUUAGUGGCAGACGGGUGAGUAAUGCAUAGGAAUCUACCUAGUAGUAUAGGAUAGCCACUAGAAAUGGUGGGUAAUACUGUAUAAUCCCUGCGGGGGAAAGAUUUAUCGCUACAUGAUGAGCCUAUGUUAGAUUAGCUAGUUGGUAGGGUAAAGGCCUACCAAGGCGAUGAUCUAUAGCUGGUCUGAGAGGAUGAUCAGCCACACUGGAACUGAGAUACGGUCCAGACUCCUACGGGAGGCAGCAGUGGGGAAUAUUGGACAAUGGGCGCAAGCCUGAUCCAGCUAUGCCGCGUGAGUGAGGAAGGCCUUAGGGUUGUAAAACUCUUUCAGUAGGGAAGAUAAUGACGGUACCUACAGAAGAAGUCCCGGCAAACUCCGUGCCAGCAGCCGCGGUAAUACGGAGGGGGCAAGCGUUGUUCGGAAUUAUUGGGCGUAAAGGGCAUGUAGGCGGUUCGGUAAGUUAAAGGUGAAAUGCCAGGGCUUAACCCUGGAGCUGCUUUUAAUACUGCCAGACUUGAGUCCGGAAGAGGAUAGCGGAAUUCCUAGUGUAGAGGUGAAAUUCGUAGAUAUUAGGAGGAACACCAGUGGCGAAGGCGGCUAUCUGGUCCGGUACUGACGCUGAGGUGCGAAAGCGUGGG
This 676-nucleotide ribosomal RNA is filed under the name uncultured Anaplasma sp. Its description in RNAcentral is "bacterial SSU rRNA". It matches the Rfam family "Bacterial small subunit ribosomal RNA", at positions 61 to 765 of the family's 1533-position model. The record is from RNAcentral. Lineage: Bacteria; Pseudomonadati; Pseudomonadota; Alphaproteobacteria; Rickettsiales; Anaplasmataceae.